AGAGCACUGAAUGUCCUAGGGGGUAUUGCACCUACCGAAGACUAUCAAACUCCGAAUGCCGUCAUCUUAUACUUGGGAGUCAGACUGUGGGGGAUAAGAUUCAUAGUCGAAAGGGCAACAGCCCAGAUCGUCAGCUAAGGUCCCUAAAUGUAAGUUAAGGGGUAAAGGAUGUGGGAUUGCACAGACAACCAGGAUGUUGGCUUAGAAGCAGCCACUCAUUCAAAGAGUGCGUAAUAGCUC
Molecule: ribosomal RNA, 240 nt
Filed under: Clostridioides difficile
Lineage: Bacteria; Bacillati; Bacillota; Clostridia; Peptostreptococcales; Peptostreptococcaceae
Description: partial 23S ribosomal RNA
Rfam family: Bacterial large subunit ribosomal RNA
Source: RNAcentral